AAAAGAUGUAACAUUUUCUAGAUUUAUCAAUUUUUCGCCAAUUACAAAUAUAUUUAAUAUAGAAGUUGUUUUUGCCAUGUUCCGCCCAUUCUAACAUGCUAACAUUUCCUCCAGUUCAGGUGCAGAGCUGAUAAUUAUGCUCCGACAUCUUUGAUCAACACACAAGAUCAAAUAAUCUCAAAAAGUAUUUAUUGAAAUUGUAGUUACAACAUAAUUACAGCAACACCACAAUUAUGCUAUAGAAAUCCUAUCAUACUCAUACAAACACCUGAAAUGAAAUAAUUACACAAGAAGAGCAUCAAUAAUGUUCAUUUUUCAUUCCACUUGAUUACGAAUCAGCCUUUAACACUGUUGCUGCUUCCCCAUUACCAGCUACGGCCGAAUCACAGGCAUGUAACAAAGUACAUAUGUCUGUGGUUUCCAGAAACUGUUCUGCCUCGGUAAUGAUAAUAGGGGCGUACUCGAAAACCAAUUUCUUGCACUGCAAAUCAAUGAUAUCAACUCAACUAAAUUUAGUAUCAACAAGGAACUAGAGGAUAAAUUUUGUUAGGAUACUCAAUUGUUAAUUGUGAAACUUAAAAAUUGAGAGUUCGCAUAAUAGUAUUCUUACAGGCAGUAAUCCCAAUAUGCCCAUCCCACACUAAGGCAUAAGGGAAGGAUGAUAUUAUCAGUAUCAGUAUAUGAGGGACACUAAUAUAAUAAGAUACCGUCUAUGGACCGAGUCUGAUCAGCAGAGAUGGCAAAGGUUAUUGCAACUCUGUGCAGUGGAUUUUAUGAAUAGAAUGAUCUCAAUCUUAAUAUAUUUCAUCUUAUAAGCUAGUAAUCAUUUUCUUACCUUUGCAGCAUAGUUCUCCAUAGAAUCACAUGCCUUUAGAAGCAUCUCAAUUAUCUCAAGCUGCGUGUCGGGAUUUUUCAACUUCAGUAAUACUUCUGAAACAGCACGAUGGCAAAUUCCACAUUCAUCUUGUUGAAGUUUUGAGGAAAUGAACACAAUUUCCUGACAAAGAUUGAUUUUUCUACAAAAUGCUUCAGGUUGUACCGAGGAAACUUCCAGAAAGAAUAGAGGAGCAUAAUAGUCCACCAAAGUUAUGCACUGUUGCUUGAAAGGAGGCACUCGAGAGCAGGCUACAUGAAGGGUGUCAAUAAUUUCAGUCUGGGUCUUGUUUUCAUUUAGGUAAUCAAGUGCUUGGGAAGCAAAGUCCUCACACAAUGUGCAAACUUGAUCAUUCCUGAUAACUCCAUCUGAAGCUUGAUCUUCCCUUUCUUGCUCCUGGUCUUUCCCUUGUGUAGCUGCACCUGGUGUAUCAGAGAUCACCAGGCUUGUAUAAGAAAGCUCAGCAUCUGCCAUUUGUCUAGCAGCACAAGCCCAGCCAGCACUCAACACAAGAAGAAAUAAGAGCCCAACUCUCACAUCCAUGAUAACUUUAGUUGCAUGCAAGUAACAACAACACCAAAUUAGAAAACAUAUAAGAGAAGCUUCUCUCUGCACGUUGAGAAGUCCAAUAUAAUUGAUAAUGCGUUGAUAACUACAGACAAUAAUUACUACAGAUAUAUGGAAAAAUAGGAUCUGAUGUAUUUAAUAUGGGUUAAACUCAAGAUAGGAUUAUUUUUUAGAAUUGUUUUUUAUGAAACAAUUAUAGCUACAUUAAAUCUGCCACCAGCUACUUCCAUGGUUAACAUUCCACUCUCAAAUUAUAGCCGCAUUUCUCACUCUACCUAAUGAUUAGUUAAGAAUGGUUAGGAAUUAGUGAUUAAGAACAUAGAUGAUAUAUAUUUCAUCCAUAGUAUAUGUUUCUUAAGGUUCCAAAUAACAUGAGACCAAAACAUGCCUGCCACAAUUAUGAAACCAGCCAAAUUCCUGCUCCUCCUAACUAGCUCAAUCAUAUCUCUAUUCUCUUCUUCCUCUUUACACUUUUCAGCUAACAUGUUUUAUGCCACAACUACGCCAAUUAAUUAGCUUAUCAGUUAUUACAAAAUAGCAAAGAAGCAAGCUGCAAUCAGACUGUAAAUUUCUCAAGGGAGCCCACUUCCCAAGAGUGCAAAAAAGAAAAAAAAAUCAAGCCAGGGGCAUAAAUAAUCAACCCAGAUUCAAAUCAAUAGAUACUAAGGGCACAAGAUAAGAUUCCUUUGCAUCUUCCAAUUACUAAUCAACACAAAAAUACAAUCAAUACCAAAUGAAAUCUCCGUCAACGAAUUUCACACAAAGUCUCCGUGCAGUAAAAAGAGCAAAUAACUGAGUUCCAUCGUUCAAACUAACAACCUCAUCUAAUCUACCCACGAUGCUGAAUUAAAUUCAAAUUAAAAAAAAAAAUCUGUAAGAUCAUAAUAAGCUUCUAACGUAUUACGCUGUAUGUACAAAAAAGCACAACGAGACGGAGAAAAAACAAAAAAACCUCCACAGAAAGGAUAAAGAAUAAAUGGAGGGGAAAGCCUAAUGAUCUGUUUAGCAGCUGAUAUCAUAUGUAGCAUUAAUUAGAUAGGAAGGAAGUUGAGAAAUCGAAGGUUUUAGUUUUUCUUCUUUUGAUCCUAAUAGCUGUUUCUCUGCGAUCAAACAAAUGAAGGAUUACCUCCGCCAAAAUUUUCCGGCGCUUAGAUUUUGUAGACGAAGGAGGCGGAGCUAGACAGCAGAGAAGGAAUGGAGACUGGUGUCCGCGGGGCUUUUUGAGUGUUGGGUGAGAGGCGUUGAAUGGCGGUUGGGUCUCCACGCGGGUGGUGCUUUUAAUUUAAUAAAUAUAAAAGGAAGCCCGAUUAAGCUGCGCUUUUCUACGGUAAGCAACAUGUAAUCAUCCCGGCUAUUAUCAGAUUUCCACCGAUGACCAACAUUACUAACGUGGCAUGAUUUUAGUGGAUAUUACAGGUUGAGUAUUGUUGGUCAUAGUAGAAGAUCCAA
This 2890-nucleotide unclassified non-coding RNA is filed under the name Hevea brasiliensis (rubber tree). The record is from RNAcentral. Lineage: Eukaryota; Viridiplantae; Streptophyta; Magnoliopsida; Malpighiales; Euphorbiaceae.